AGUGAACGCUGGCGGUAGGCCUAACACAUGCAAGUCGAACGGCAGCACAGUAAGAGCUUGCUCUUACGGGUGGCGAGUGGCGGACGGGUGAGGAAUACAUCGGAAUCUACUUUUUCGUGGGGGAUAACGUAGGGAAACUUACGCUAAUACCGCAUACGACCUACGGGUGAAAGCAGGGGAUCUUCGGACCUUGCGCGAUUGAAUGAGCCGAUGUCGGAUUAGCUAGUUGGCGGGGUAAAGGCCCACCAAGGCGACGAUCCGUAGCUGGUCUGAGAGGAUGAUCAGCCACACUGGAACUGAGACACGGGCCAGAAUCCUACGGGAGGCAGCAGUGGGGAAUUUUGGAAAAUGGGCGCAAGCCUGAUCCAGCCACCCCGCGUGGGUGAAGAAGGCCUUCGGGUUGUAAAGCCCUUUUGUUGGGAAAAAAAAGCAGCAGGUUAAACCCCCGCUGUUCUGACGGUACCAAAAGAAUAAGCACCGGCUAACUUCGG
Molecule: ribosomal RNA, 491 nt
Filed under: uncultured bacterium
Lineage: Bacteria
Description: partial 16S ribosomal RNA
Rfam family: Bacterial small subunit ribosomal RNA
Source: RNAcentral